This 529-nucleotide ribosomal RNA is filed under the name fungal isolate from Newtonia buchananii wood. RNAcentral's name for it is "eukaryotic LSU rRNA". The stretch from base 170 to 323 matches the Rfam family "5.8S ribosomal RNA". Lineage: Eukaryota; Fungi. The record is from RNAcentral.
GAGGGAUCAUUACCGAGUUUACAACUCCCAAACCCAUGUGAACAUACCUACUGUUGCUUCGGCGGGAUUGCCCCGGGCGCCUCGUGUGCCCCGGAUCAGGCGCCCGCCUAGGAAACUUAACUCUUGUUUUAUUUUGGAAUCUUCUGAGUAGUUUUUACAAAUAAAUAAAAACUUUCAACAACGGAUCUCUUGGUUCUGGCAUCGAUGAAGAACGCAGCGAAAUGCGAUAAGUAAUGUGAAUUGCAGAAUUCAGUGAAUCAUCGAAUCUUUGAACGCACAUUGCGCCCGCCAGUAUUCUGGCGGGCAUGCCUGUCUGAGCGUCAUUUCAACCCUCAUGCCCCUAGGGCGUGGUGUUGGGGAUCGGCCAAAGCCCGCGAGGGACGGCCGGCCCCUAAAUCUAGUGGCGGACCCGUCGUGGCCUCCCCUGCGAAGUAGUGAUAUUCCGCAUCGGAGAGCGACGAGCCCCUGCCGUUAAACCCCCAACUUUCCAAGGUUGACCUCAGAUCAGGUAGGAAUACCCGCUGACUAA